RNAcentral lists this long non-coding RNA (464 nucleotides) under Musa acuminata (dwarf banana). Its description in RNAcentral is "long non-coding RNA (MACU_LNC001267)". The record is from RNAcentral. Lineage: Eukaryota; Viridiplantae; Streptophyta; Magnoliopsida; Zingiberales; Musaceae.
AAAGAUGUCAUAAAAAUUUGAUAGAAAUUUGGAUAGAAAAAGCACAGUAGCAAGAUCAAACAGAUGGUGCUAUGCGGCUGGAAUUCUGCAAUGUAUCUUUCAUCGUAGAGAUGAAAACUUUGUGACGAAAAGUUUAUGCAGCAAUAUAGGAACAAUUUUUUUUUUUUUUGGAUUUUCGAAUAAGGAUAACUAAAUUGCAGUAGCAUUAAGAUAGGAAACCAGAACCUGUUGCAAUUCACGGGGAGAUCAAAGGAUGAUCCGUGGUGGUGGAGAUGAUGGCGGAAUUCGGUGACGAUCUUUUAAACAAUUGUGGGAAUUGCUUUGGAUGGUUGUAGAGGGUUGAUGGAUGGCUGUGGAAGGGCAGCGAGACGCCAAGAACGCUGCUCUGAUACCAGGUGAUAGAACCCUUGCAGAUUCUAAACUUGGGGUUGAUCUCUUUAGGGGAUCGGCCUCCUUGGAACUCU